GUAUCAAUGUGGUAGCUAUCAGCACUAUACAGUGAAACUGCGAAUGGCUCAUUAAAUCAGUUAUCGUUUAUUUGAUAGUACCUUACUACUUGGAUAACCGUGGUAAUUCUAGAGCUAAUACAUGCUAAAAAUCCCGACCUCCGGAAGGGAUGUAUUUAUUAGAUAAAAAACCAAUGCCUUCGGGCUCCUUGGUGAUUCAUGAUAACUUAACGAAUCGCAUGGCCUUGCGCCGGCGAUGGUUCAUUCAAAUUUCUGCCCUAUCAACUUUCGAUGGUAGGAUAGUGGCCUACCAUGGUUUCAACGGGUAACGGGGAAUUAGGGUUCGAUUCCGGAGAGGGAGCCUGAGAAACGGCUACCACAUCCAAGGAAGGCAGCAGGCGCGCAAAUUACCCAAUCCCGAUUCGGGGAGGUAGUGACAAUAAAUACUGAUACAGGGCUCUUUUGGGUCUUGUAAUUGGAAUGAGUACAAUUUAAAUCCCUUAACGAGGAACAAUUGGAGGGCAAGUCUGGCCC
Molecule: ribosomal RNA, 513 nt
Filed under: Arthrobotrys musiformis
Lineage: Eukaryota; Fungi; Ascomycota; Orbiliomycetes; Orbiliales; Orbiliaceae
Description: SSU rRNA
Rfam family: Eukaryotic small subunit ribosomal RNA
Source: RNAcentral